This 146-nucleotide small nucleolar RNA is filed under the name Eschrichtius robustus (grey whale). The record is from RNAcentral. Lineage: Eukaryota; Metazoa; Chordata; Mammalia; Artiodactyla; Eschrichtiidae. RNAcentral also lists the same sequence under 2 other names.
AUUGAGGUCUCUCCCAAUGGGGCUUUUUCUAUUAGCCUACAUUGUUGGAAACACCUCACAGAGUAAAUAUGUGGAUUUGUUUUUAUUCACAGAAUUAUGUGAGUAAAUUAUGUGUUACAUCUGUGGGAAAUAACUAUAAGACAGAG